ACGCCUUAUACAUGCAAGUCGAACGAAGUAGCAAUACUUAGUGGCAGACGGGUGAGUAACAUGUGGGUAUCUUCCCUUUGGUGAGGAAUAACACGAGGAAACUUGUGCUAAUACCUCAUAAGUCUUUACGGAGAAAGCUUUAUGCGCCAAUGGAUGAGCCCGCACUUGAUUAGUUUGUUGGUGGGGUAAUGGCCUACCAAGACUUCGAUCAAUAGCUGAUUUGAGAGGAUGAUCAGCCACAUUGGGACUGAGACACGGCCCAAACUCCUACGGGAGGCAGCAGUAAGGAAUCUUGCACAAUGGAGGAAACUCUGAUGCAGCGAUGCCGCGUGAGUGAAGAAGGCCUUUGGGUUGUAAAGCUCUUUCGUCGGGGAAGAAAAUGACUGUACCCGAAUAAGAAGGUCCGGCUAACUUCGUGCCAGCAGCCGCGGUAAUACGAAGGGACCUAGCGUAGUUCGGAAUUACUGGGCUUAAAGAGUUCGUAGGUGGUUAAAAAAGUUGGUGGUGAAAUCCCAGAGCUUAACUCUGGAACUGCCAUCAAAACUUUUUAGCUAGAGUAUGAUAGAGGAAAGCAGAAUUUCUAGUGUAGAGGUGAAAUUCGUAGAUAUUAGAAAGAAUACCGAUUGCGAAGGCAGCUUUCUGGAUCAUUACUGACACUGAGGAACGAAAGCAUGGGUAGCGAAGAGGAUUAGAUACCCUCGUAGUCCAUGCUGUAAACGAUGUGUGUUAGACGUUGGAAAUUUAUUUUCAGUGUCGCAGCGAAAGCGAUAAACACACCGCCUGGGGAGUACGAC
RNAcentral lists this ribosomal RNA (794 nucleotides) under uncultured Pelagibacteraceae bacterium. RNAcentral describes it as "bacterial SSU rRNA". It matches the Rfam family "Bacterial small subunit ribosomal RNA", at positions 44 to 886 of the family's 1533-position model. The record is from RNAcentral. Lineage: Bacteria; Pseudomonadati; Pseudomonadota; Alphaproteobacteria; Candidatus Pelagibacterales; Candidatus Pelagibacteraceae.